Molecule: non-coding RNA, 135 nt
Organism: Colletotrichum liriopes
Lineage: Eukaryota; Fungi; Ascomycota; Sordariomycetes; Glomerellales; Glomerellaceae
Source: the annotation of a GenBank genome assembly
GCCCGGCUAGCUCAAUCGGUAGAGCGUGAGACUCUUAAUCUCAAGGUUGUGGGUUCGACCCGUAAGCGCACCUCUCUCGAGUGUUCAUCGCAUCUGAACAUUGCCACUAACACCAUACCAGCCACGUCGGGCUCA